This 482-nucleotide ribosomal RNA is filed under the name uncultured bacterium. RNAcentral's name for it is "partial 16S ribosomal RNA". It matches the Rfam family "Bacterial small subunit ribosomal RNA", at positions 30 to 507 of the family's 1533-position model. The record is from RNAcentral.
AUUGAACGCUGGCGGCAUGCCUUACACAUGCAAGUCGAACGGCAACACCACUUCGGUGUCCGCCUACUGGCGGCCGGGUGCGUACUACUUCGGAACGUAUCUAGUACUACUGGUUCACUGCUCGUAACGGUAGCUAAUACCGCAUGAGAUCUAAUACUGACAACGGGUGACCUCCGGGCCUUUCGCUACUUUAGCGGCUGAUGGCAGAUUAGGUAGUUGGUGGGAUAAAGGCUUACCAAGCCGACGAUCUGUAGCUGGUCUGAGAGGAUGAGCAGCCACACUGGAACUGAGACACGGUCCAGACUCCUACGGGAGGCAGCAGUGGGGAAUUUUGGACAAUGGGCGCAAGCCUGAUCCAGCAAUGCCGCGUGCGUGAUGAAGGCCUUCGGGUUGUAAACUGCUUUUGUUGGGAAAGAAAAGCCGUCUUCUAAUACAGGAGGGUCAUGACGGUACCGUAAGAAUAAGCACCGGCUAACUACGUG